AUGGCUGACGAGGAUGCCGCGGCCGCGGCGAACCUCGUCGAGACUGAAGAAGAAGGUGGGCCAGCAAUGAUGAUGGCUUGCGUCGAGACCAUGCAGGAGGGCGGAGCGCCUCCGGCGACCAUGGUCCUGACAAGCAUCAAAGCCGUGCAGGAGGGCGCAGCACCUCCGGCGACCACGGUGCCGGCAACCGUUAAGUCCGUGCGGGAGGCACGGAGCUCUUCAAGUAAUCCCCUCUCGACAUUGGUAGCGCUCUCCUCGGCAACAACGUUCUCGGGAGGAUACGAUUGGGAGGAGAUGAAGACCCGGGUGUGGGGGAGCCACACCCCGGAAACCACGUCCCCUGCGACGCUGGUCAAGCCUGUGCAAGUUGGCACGGCAAAGGCGUACCCGACAUCCUCGGGACCCAAUAAGCCCGUGUCAGGAGGCACGGCAACGACGUAUAUGGUGGGCCACGUCCCAACCAUGAUGUUGGUGACCAGUGAGACCGUGCAAGAGGCACGACACUCUCAGGUCGGCCACACCCCGACAACCAGGUUCUCGGGGUUCUGCAAGCCCGUGUGGGCAACACGGCACUCUUCGACGGGCCUCAACAGCUGGGAGGCCAUGAAGAGACGGUCAUGGGGCGGCAAGGCCUCGACCGUGACUCUGGCGACCAUCGAGGCUGUGCAGGAGGCGCGGUGCUCUAUGGUCAGCCACGCAGCAACCCUGACGCGCUCGGGGUCCAUCGAGUCCGUGCGGAAGGCACGACUCACAACUGUCGGAGGAGACCCGACAAGCAAGUCUGAUGGGAAGAACACCAAGGACUUCGCUACCCUGAGAGGAGCCACUCCGGGCAGUGCGGCGUCCGGCACAACGACCCCAGGAAGGGAGUUCCUGGGUAGUGCGAUGUCCGACAAGUCAUCCCCAGGAAGGGAGUUCCCGGGCAGUGCGGCGUCCGGCACGACGACCCCGGGAAGGGAGUUCCCGGGCAGUGUGACAUCAGGAACUACGACCCCAGGAACACUGACGCCCACGAGCGAAGUGGUUCCCGGGCAGUUCAUGUCUUCGUCUACAGCGCGGUCGGACCGAUUUGACACCAACAACGUUGGCGCUCCACACAGGUUUCGGCGCCUAGGAGGACCUUCUCGGCGAGCCUGCGGGACGGUCGUAGCACCCGAGAUCGAGAAGCAGGAGAAGGUCGGGAUCAUCGACAACAAGCUCCUUCGACAAGGUUGA
Molecule: ribosomal RNA, 1215 nt
Filed under: Triticum aestivum (bread wheat)
Lineage: Eukaryota; Viridiplantae; Streptophyta; Magnoliopsida; Poales; Poaceae
Description: partial small subunit ribosomal RNA
Source: RNAcentral